This 447-nucleotide ribosomal RNA is filed under the name uncultured bacterium. Its description in RNAcentral is "bacterial SSU rRNA". It matches the Rfam family "Bacterial small subunit ribosomal RNA", at positions 329 to 792 of the family's 1533-position model. The record is from RNAcentral.
AUCCAGACUCCUACGGGAGGCAGCAGUGGGGAAUAUUGCGCAAUGGGGGAAACCCUGACGCAGCAACGCCGCGUGAGUGAGGAAGUAUCUCGGUAUGUAAAGCUCUAUCAGCGGGGAAGAAGGAAGACGGUACCCGACUAAGAAGCCCCGGCUAACUACGUGCCAGCAGCCGCGGUAAUACGUAGGGGGCGAGCGUUAUCCGGAUUUACUGGGUGUAAAGGGAGCGUAGACGGCGUCGCAAGUCUGAAGUGAAAGCCCGUGGCUCAACCGCGGGACUGCUCUGGAAACUGCGUCGCUGGAGUACGGGAGGGGCAGGCGGAAUUCCUGGUGUAGCGGUGAAAUGCGUAGAUAUCAGGAGGAACACCGGCGGCGAAGGCGGCCUGCUGGACUGAAACUGACGUUGAGGCUCGAAAGCGUGGGGAGCAAACAGGAUUAGAUACCCUAGUA